GUUGGAUAGAUGGGCAAUUAGCGACUGCCUGUAACCCGUGCGCUAACCGGGAUUGACCACACGGUUGAGAGCGCGUACCGAAUCAUGUUAGUCAGACUCUAUCGGUGAUGACGCUUGACGGCUUAGUAGUCGGUGUGAUUGUGAAUCGUGUCAGAUGGGGAACCAAGCAGCACUAAACAGUUUUCGCCGAGCUAAUUAAGUGACGCCAGGCCGAGCUGUUAGACCGACUAUCGUUUUUUGGGAAACGACCGAUCCGUGUUCCAAC
Molecule: signal recognition particle RNA, 265 nt
Filed under: Clostridia bacterium
Lineage: Bacteria; Bacillati; Bacillota; Clostridia
Description: signal recognition particle sRNA large type
Rfam family: Bacterial large signal recognition particle RNA
About the family: The signal recognition particle (SRP) is a universally conserved ribonucleoprotein involved in the co-translational targeting of proteins to membranes. Archaeal SRP consists of a 7S RNA and homologues of the eukaryotic SRP19 and SRP54 proteins.
Source: RNAcentral